AGCAGUCGCCGCGGGAAUACGGAGGGUGCAAGCGUUAAUCGGAAUUACUGGGCGUAAAGCGCACGCAGGCGGUCUGACAAGUCAGAUGUGAAAUCCCCGGGCUUAACCUGGGAACUGCAUUUGAAACUGUCAGGCUGGAGUCUUGUAGAGGGGGGUGGAAUUCCAGGUGUAGCGGUGAAAUGCGUAGAGAUCUGGAGGAAUACCGGUGGCGAAGGCGGCCCCCUGGACAAAGACUGACGCUCAGGUGCGAAAGCGUGGGGAGCAAACAGGAUUAGAUACCCCGGUAGUCCCUGUCUCUUAUAA
RNAcentral lists this ribosomal RNA (303 nucleotides) under uncultured bacterium. RNAcentral's name for it is "partial 16S ribosomal RNA". It matches the Rfam family "Bacterial small subunit ribosomal RNA", at positions 507 to 809 of the family's 1533-position model. The record is from RNAcentral.